Hemicordylus capensis (graceful crag lizard) is the source of this 588-nucleotide long non-coding RNA. RefSeq lists it as uncharacterized. NCBI's taxonomy places the organism in Eukaryota, Metazoa, Chordata, Lepidosauria, Squamata, Cordylidae. The transcript has 3 exons. The record is from RefSeq and is a predicted model, not a curated record.
GUCUUCCUGGUUGCUGUCAGAACCCCUAGAAUCUCCGCUGGUAGUGGGGUUGGAUCCUCCACCCUGUCAGAAGUCCAGAUGUAGAACCGUGCCUGCUUCUUGAGACAGGAAGUGAGUGUUGUAAGGAAUCUGGAGAAAUGACACAAGCAAUCAGGACAUAUGAAAACUACAGAAGGAAAUCCCUUUAUUGAUUGAAGCAGAGCUGGUGUUUUGCUCUUUAAAAAACAUGCAGAUCUAGUUGAAGUAAGGAAAAUGGCAGUAGUUAAUGGAAAAUUAGACUGGAAUCAGGAAAUUAAGAGCAUCGCCAAAAAGGGGAGGAGGAGGAAUCUAACCAGAUCAGAAGUUUUCUACAGGAAGCAAGUCUGUGGAUGAGAAAUGGGAUUACAUUUCUACAAAACGCUGAAGAUUACCAAUCAUUUCCCUUUAAAAAAAAAUUAGAACUUGCCAUAGAUGAACAGAAUGAUUUUUUAAAAUUUACAAAAUGGUCUAAAUGGUAUGUCCUUGCUGUUGGCAGAAAAAUGAGAUAUCACCCAAUUACAUUGUUCAUCUUUUCUUUGAAAAAAUACAAAAAUUAAAAUUUCCACACAA